UGUAUUUAUUUGUUUAUAUAUUUUUGUAUUU
Molecule: non-coding RNA, 31 nt
Filed under: Mus musculus (house mouse)
Lineage: Eukaryota; Metazoa; Chordata; Mammalia; Rodentia; Muridae
Source: RNAcentral